AAUAAGUGUAAUUUUACACUAUUCACGUUUAACGUUUGACUGUUCAUCUUAUUUAAAAAAAAUUUACGAUUAGUAUUUUUAUUGCUAUUAGAUGAUAAAACAUGGAUAGUACUUUAUGUUUAACUAAAUAUUUUUAAUAUUUUUAUUUUUUUUAAAUAAGAUGGACGGUCAAACGUUGAGCAUGAAUAACAACUGUAUUUAUU
This 203-nucleotide microRNA precursor is filed under the name Oryza rufipogon (brownbeard rice). RNAcentral's name for it is "MIR812 microRNA precursor family". It matches the Rfam family "MIR812 microRNA precursor family". Lineage: Eukaryota; Viridiplantae; Streptophyta; Magnoliopsida; Poales; Poaceae. The record is from Rfam by way of RNAcentral.